GUGCCAGCCGCCGCGGUAAUACGUAGGGGGCAAGCGUUAUCCGGAUUCAUUGGGCGUAAAGAGCGCGUAGGCGGCUUGGUAAGUCAGAUGUGAAAACCGGGGGCUCAACCCGCGGCCUGCAUCUGAAACUGUCAGGCUUGAGUCUGGUAGAGGAAAGUGGAAUUCCCAGUGUAGCGGUGAAAUGCGCAGAUAUUAGGAGGAACACCAGUGGCGAAGGCGGCUUCCUGGCCCGUUCUUGACGCUGAGGCGCGAAAGCCAGGGGAGCAAACGGGAUUAGAAACCCUAGUAGUCCAAU
This 295-nucleotide ribosomal RNA is filed under the name uncultured bacterium. RNAcentral describes it as "partial 16S ribosomal RNA". It matches the Rfam family "Bacterial small subunit ribosomal RNA", at positions 505 to 799 of the family's 1533-position model. The record is from RNAcentral.